CAGCAGCCACGGUAAUACCGAGGGUGCGAGCGUUAAUCGGAUUUACUGGGCGUAAAGCGUGCGUAUGCGGCUUUUUAAGUCGGAUGUGAAAUCCCUGAGCUUAACUUAGGAAUUGCAUUCGAUACUGGGAAGCUAGAGUAUGGGAGAGGAUGGUAGAAUUCCAGGUGUAGCGGUGAAAUGCGUAGAGAUCUGGAGGAAUACCGAUGGCGAAGGCAGCCAUCUGGCCUAAUACUGACGCUGAGGUACGAAAGCAUGGGGAGCAAACAGGAUUAGAUACCCCGGUAGUCCCUGUCUCUUAUAC
Molecule: ribosomal RNA, 301 nt
Filed under: uncultured bacterium
Lineage: Bacteria
Description: partial 16S ribosomal RNA
Rfam family: Bacterial small subunit ribosomal RNA
Source: RNAcentral